GCCAAAUCUUCGGCUUCUCAAAGCCGGUCUCAGUGGCUGUCGAUUUUUGGACACCGAGGAGUUGGAGUCAGUUGGCAGUGCCCAGACUGCGGGCUGCGCUUGGUCGGGCACCCCAGGCAAAAAAGAAAAAAAAAAAAGAGAAAGAAAGAGGAGGAGACAGUGAUUGCAGCCUCUCCCGGCGCAGGUGGCAGAGCCUUGCGGCUUUGGAGAGAGGUGGAGCCUUGGUGAGGUUGGGAGGACUGCCUAACUGCGAUCUUUUUCUCCAUUCUUCCUCCUGGGAACUUCUCCGCCCUGAAAGGGUAGCGUGAGCUUCAUGCCUUCGGCCGGCCGUGUUAUACUCGUUAGACCCAAUUCACCAUGAAUCCUUUGAAAGACUAGUGGAGAGUGAGAAGGGGGUUUCAAAGUCACUGGAGUAAAGGAAUUCUCCAAGCACCACCUCAUGAUUAAUUCUUGGAAAAGCCUGUUUGCGCGGCCCUUAGAAUCAUUUUGACUUCUUGUCUAAUGGUGAAGUUUUUCUCUGUAAUCCUUCUACUCUGUUUUCUAAAACCAGAACUAAAAACCUAAAAAAUUGUAAAACUUCAUGGUGUAAUUAAAACCCCUUCACCAUUUUUUUUAAGUAAGAUUGUGUGGCCUUAUUGCACAAUUUAAAUUCCUGGAAAAACCUCUUCCCAUCUGCAGUGUACAAGCAUUCUAACAUAUUAUGUCUCCUCACAGGGUAAGUAAAUAACUGGAUUCUUUUAUGUGAUAAGCAGGUACCCAUUUCUUAAAUGUUAUUUCGUGAACGAACAAACCUCCUAACUGGUUCUUCAGUUAGUCUCAGCAACACAUGGGUAAUAAGAGAAACUAAAAGGGCUUUCCGAUUUCAAGUAAUUACAGGUCAUAAAAUAUCCAGAAUCAUAUUUACUUGCAAAAGGCACUAUAUGGAUAUACUAAUAAAGAAUUAUUC
RNAcentral lists this long non-coding RNA (946 nucleotides) under Homo sapiens (human). RNAcentral describes it as "HSALNT0326207". Lineage: Eukaryota; Metazoa; Chordata; Mammalia; Primates; Hominidae. The record is from RNAcentral.